This is a long non-coding RNA of Dromaius novaehollandiae (emu), 6997 nucleotides long. RefSeq lists it as uncharacterized. The record is from RefSeq and is a predicted model, not a curated record. Lineage: Eukaryota; Metazoa; Chordata; Aves; Casuariiformes; Dromaiidae. The transcript is spliced from 2 exons.
CUGAGUAACUCCUGUCUAGAAAAAAGUACUCUCAAAACAUGUAUUAUAUCUGAUGUUCUUCCUGGUAGUAUGUAUUUACACAUGGAAAUAGUUGGGGAAAUUACCUGUGUGAAAACAGGAGCAUUGAUUUCUCAUAGGAAUCUUAACACUUCAUGUGGACAAAGCAUUCCCCCAUGACUGCUCCCAUUAUAGGACAGAAGUUUGGUUUUAUUGCCUUUAUAUGGGAAAUGUGUAAUUAUUUAUUUUCUUUUAUGGGAAAGAGCAGAGUGUGAUAACCUGUAUGUUCAAAAAUCAUGAACUGUGUUUCAAGAAAUACAGAAAUUGGAGAAAGAUACUAGAGUCUUUGACUUUUGGAAGGUGAAGAAUUUGAGUUCGCCUUUUUAAGUUUCUCUAAUGAGUAGGAGAAAGUUUUUAAAAAGACAUUUUUAACAUAAUGUGGUUUCAAGAGAUUAAGUGAACAAGAAAUGUUAAGUAUCACACUGCUGAAAAUGUACUCUUUGAAAUCCUUGUAUAUACUGUAUUAGGCGUGAAAUCCUUUAAAUUACAACCUAACCAUGUGUGGGGACCAGUAGGGAUACUGAAUAAAUAUUAAUAAUCUAUAUCCAGGAUAAAAUAUGGAGAACAUGACAUAUUUAUGAAGUCUCAGUAUGUUGUGCAUGGUUUGUGAGGAUCUAACAUACCAUUGAACUCCACAGUAAUACUCCCCUUUGAUUUAACUAAAUUUACAUAAAAUGUUUUAAAUUUAACCAAGUAUUUAUUUUCCAGGUGACCCUGUUGUUAUGCUUUUUCUCCUUGUACCUUUGUUUUACAGAGCUGUAAGACAGUUUGCUAAUGGAAUUAAGUCAGCAGGCCUUGAUAAAUUUGUUUCUAUCACUUAACACAACUGACAUUAUUUCAAAACUAUGAUAUACUCAACAUGGAUAUUAUAGCUUUUGUAUAGAUUUGUCAUUUGAAUAAACUCACUGAAAAAAUCUAUUUUCAGUACCUACCCCUUUAUGUUAAAAGUUAUUUUUAAAGUUCAAUAUAUUUUCCUAAACAAAAGAUCUCUGGCUGUUUGAGUAGUUUGCCUUACUAUUUUAGAAGAAAGAGGCAGUUAAUUUAAUACUACUGAUUCUUAUCUUUUCCAAAUCCUCUUUUAUUAGACACUUUGCUUUUCUCUUAACUUUUGUUCCCCAUUCUUGUCUUCGGCUUUUUGGUUCAUUGAGGUUCCACAGCUUUAUCUUGGAGUGAGGUAAUAUAAGCUGAUGGCACAAGAAAUAGUUUCCUUGCAAGCACCAUAUCUGUUGUCAGCUAAGUGUAGGGCAGGAACCAUUCAAUGUUAAUACAUUUUCAUUCCAUGAACAACUCUUCAAACAACAACAUAACAGAAAAGGAGUUAGUUUUCUGAAGAUACUUAUGGCCUAUAUACUUUUAGAAUUACAAAAGACUGUACACAAAUAUGUUAAAGUAGUUUUUUCUUUUCUAGGCAAGAGUCUAGAAAUGUGGUCAGUUUCUUACCAGGUAAAUACAAAGACAGGCUCAUUCUCUCAAAGAACUUGUUAGAAAAUUUUCUUGUAUGUAUCCAAAAAUUAACAAUCAUGCUGCAUUAAUGGACUGUGUGAAAGAGGUACAUUUGUUUGCAGGAGAUGAGAGAAUUUUAGUUCUUAAUUAUUUGAAAUGAAUGUGGUCUCCUUGCCUUCUGAUUGUUUGUGGGCUUAAGACGUUUAAAGACAAAGUGCUAAUUUUUGUAUCUUUCUAAAAAACUGUUAAACUUGACAACAAUAUUUGUUUUUAUGUCCAUACCUUGAAUUAGACCUAUGCAUUACACACGUGCACAAAUUGCAAGUAUUCAUAAUGUGGAAGCUCAGCGUAGACCAAGUCUGCUCAGAUGUAACAAACCGCAAGAUCAGGAGUCGGAUUUUGUGGGACAGGGAAUCUUUUCACUUCUGUAUAGUAAUGGUUGGUAGACAAGAUAUUUUUUCCUAUGUUAGGUGGAGUGAUUGUAGAGAUUUUUUUUUUUUAAUUUUUACUUCUCACUUGCUGCACAAAGAAGAGGAAAAAGGGGCAAUCAAAAGGUUCACACUACUAAAAAGUAUUUUUUUCCAAUAUGGUUGGGAACUUACAGGGUGUUUGAGGGGGAAAGAUUGACGUAGCUUAAGGUCCCACUUUUGCAAUCCAAGCAGACAGCUGGUCUAGUUCCAAGGAAUUUCACAAAAUAUCUGCAGAACUAUAGGGAUUCACUUGGCUAAUCUGAAUUAAAAUCAGAUCUGUGUUUUACAUGAUAGUUAUAUUUGUGCAAAUGUGUUUGGAAUGAUAACACUAUGGCUUGUUUUAAUUAAAAAAAAAAAAAAAGUGACCUCGGUUGUGUUUUGCUUGUAUCUGCAUUUUCUCAGUAUGCAUUGGGGAUUUUUAUGCUGCUUGUUAGUCUACAGAUCAAACCAGUGAUUUGAGACUAAUUCUCUCUGGAAAGUGCUGAAAGAAAUAAUUGUGUCUGGAGAUGCAGUUCAGUGUUUUGUGUGGAUAUAUGCACACUGCUGCCCAGCAGUGAUGGGUGCCCAUUGCUGAGGGGUGGACAGGAUAGGAACUCAGAGGCAGCAUUUAUUUAUAGUUCUCAUCUGUGCCCAUUCCCAUUUCUGCUGCUUUGCUGACCUUGUUUGAUGUACAAGCACUACAGGGCAGGACCUUGCUUUUCUGUUUUUAUAAUACUUUUUUAUAAUGCUUGUCUCAAUGGAAACAGGAUCUCAAAAUGCCAGUCUUGAUGAUGAGUUCUGCCUAAUGGUCUUAACUUUCAUAUCUGAUUAAAUUGUCAAUCCUGGGCAUUUACAUGGCACCAACGAUAAAUGUGUUUCUUAAUCUCUGAAUCCUGAAGAGUAGAAUUCUUUACAGGGGACUUCAUUUUUAUUCUUCUUAUCCCUGGGUUUGGGGGAAUGUGACUAUACCUUAAAUCAAAACUCCUUUACAAGCAGGACUCAACCUUAGUGGGGUCUGACAGUAUUUUCCCCUUCUUUUCAUUUUUUCCACUUUGUUGUUAACGUAGGUAUCUUAAGACUGCAAUCAGAUAUACUGUUCUGCCUCCAGUGCAGCCAAAGGGUGAGGUAGCCAUUCUUAGGCUGGCCCCACUUACUCUUCCUCCUAUUCUCAGUGUUGCUGUUUUCUUAGAUCUGCUGAAAAACUUAAAUCUGCUGUUACUUAAAUCUGUUCUCCCAAAAAUGAUCCGCCCAUGUCUUCAUUUUAUCCAUAGGCCUUAAAGUCCAUCAGAGAUCACGUCUGUAGAGAGCACCGUCCUAUUUAACAAUAUCUGACAAGAUUAAGGAAACAGAGCAAUUUGUUUUAAAAUGUGCAGACUUGGAGCUAUGUGUAUUCAGAAAGGAGCUGGAGCUAAUGGAAUGCAGUACUCUUUCUUGGGGCUGAAGAAGCUUCUCCAACUUGGCAUCUUUUAUUCCCUGGCCAUAUGCCUACUUUGGACAGAUUAAAAGCUUCACCCUGAAGUAGAAGGAUAAAGAUUUCACCCUUUGUAGAGUAAGUACACUCUUUGUAGACUAAGUAUACACAGUAUGGAAUCUGAGUGUAUUAAUUAUCUAAAAGCUGCAUAUAAAAUAAAUCUAGUACCAAAGGCAUAUUUUGAUGGACCAAUGUUGAAAUUUUGCAUCUAAAAAUAGCCAGGGUUUAUACUAAUAUGGAUUUUUUUUCCUCUGGCUGUGAACACAAAGAUACUAAUUUAUACCAGAUUACUUAUAACACAGGAGUGACUGCUAUUGCCAGGGAUUUAGUUUAGCAGCUCUUGUUUUAUUGCUCAAAUGCUACAUGGCCAGUUUGUGCUUGCUAGCUGGCAGCCUGACUUAUGAACCUUUGGCCUGUCAACAACUCACUGAAAAAAGUAUAUUGCUGUGUGGGCAGAAAAGCUAUGAGCAGAAGUGCAUGCACUUUAUUAUAUGGUCUUUUCCCCUCUGACACUUGAAGUAACUAAAAGGAGAAAACUUUCAUUAAUGUAAGGGACACUUUGCUACAAAAUAAAGAAAAUGAGAAGGAAAUUUGUUUAUGUUAGGUUUAUUGAACAGUAACUUCAUUUAUCCAAUUUUGGAUUUUUCACAAUACUUAAUCCAAUUAUUGCUAGCAUGUAGGAUAAUUCUAAUUUAGUGACAUUGUACAAUUAUUCAAAGUAGUGGAAAAAGUCAAGUCUGCAAACAUUCAGACUGUGCUAGAAUUCAUAUCUUAACAUAGCUGAACAGAUAACUUCUCUAAAUAAAACACAUUAUGUAUUUAAAAUGUCUCUCUUUUAUUAAUAAUAAAUUAAUAAAAACUCAAUGGCAUCACUGGUCAACAAAACACACUGAGGAUAGUGUGCAGGUUGUCUACAUAUCAAUCAGAAAGGUAAUAACACUGCUACCUUGAUGAAAAUUGGAGAAAUACUAGUGAACUUAUAUACAUAUAUCACUUUAGACAUAUGAAGAACACCAAGCAGAAGAAAUGUACUUCCAUGUUUCCCCAAUUUUUUAUAUUAAAUAAGGCGAUAAUAUAAAGCAUAGCAUCACAGCAACAUAAUUAAAUCUCUAGGUGCUGAGUCCUGACAUAAUGUCAUGCUCAAAGAGGAAUGUGCAAAAAUAAACACCUGAAUUUACACUUUGAUUCUUUGUUCCGUAAAAUAAAAACUCUAGAUUCCACUGGUAGGAAAAACAGAAGUAAAGUUUCUGGGAGAAUCCAAAUCAAGAAAGCUGUGCUCUCAGCCUGUGGCACUAUUUGGAAUAUCUUGAGCAUCUGCUAAAUGCAGUUUUUGUCUGGAGCAAACCAUUAAGGAAUAAAACUUGCACAUAUCGGUAAAGGACAAACAAGAUAGCAAUGUUAUAGAAAACUAUGCGCUACGCUUAUUACUGUGUUUAUCUGGGCUGGUAUAUACCUGUUGCAGGACUAAGUCUCCUGCUAGUUCUUAACUAGUAAACCAAUCUUCCUCAGUGAGAGUUAAGCACUACGUACCUCCAGAGUAAACCAGCAAUCCAAGGAGGAUGCCAGAGGAUCUGUACUAUUAUUAUUAUGUGAUAUCAUUAUCACAUUCCACUUGCAUUCUCUGAGAUCUAGCCUUAAAUAGCUUUUCACAGAUACAGAGGAUGUAUAUACUAGUGCAGUAUCCUAUGUCCCAAGGUUGAGUCUCACCCACUGGACUGUCCUUCCUCAGUGAGUAGGAAUUGUGUAAAAUCAGAAAUAGCUAGGCUAUAGCACAGACUGAGUGUAUCACCCGUCACCUGUAUUCAUAGCUCAUCAAAAGCACAAUACAUAAGAUAAAUACCAUAUUUAGCUUUGUCUUCUAGAUGGGCUAAGAGCACACUUGUUCCCAAACAAAGCUCAGUUGAAAUAAUUGACUCAAUCAUAGUCUGACCCUAGAAAUAAAAAAUGAGGUUACCACAGCAUUCACAGUAAAGCCAGUAAUAAACAGCUACAUAUAUUUUUAGAAAAACUAAAUGGUAAUAGGAAUCAUUUAUCAGAGGGACAGAAUGCUUCUGAAUACUACAGAAGGAAUAUUGCCAUGUAUGUUUGCUUCAGAGUUUCUCAGCAAAAUACACGUAAGGAAAAUGUGCUUCUGAAGGGCUUUGCCAUCCACUGUCAACAUGUUGUCUAAAACGUUGUACCAGCUAAAUAAAUCGCCAUAUGAAAACCAGCCUGUAAUUAAAAGUAUUAAGAUCCAGCCAUUUAUAUGUUGAAAAAACUUAAAGUCCAUGAUAUAUUACAGUACUAAUUAAAAAGAAGGGGUAUUAUUGAAGAGAUUUCACUUCUAUGAAGACACAGUAAUUGGGGAAAUAUACUAUAAUUCAAUUAUAGGUAAUAAAUAUAAUGUGAAAUAAACAUUUAAGAAAAAGGAUACAUAGAUGAAUUCAGUUCUUCCAGCUGCAAUAUAAAUGUAGAAAGUAUCAGAAAUGGUACUUCAGUUAGUCAAAUAAAUGCAACAAUUGUGCUAAUAUGCUGACAUAAUAUAUUAAAAGGUGAAAUAAAAAAUAAUGAUUAUUGGUUUAAGUGGAAAUGUUCAUUUUCAUUACAAAAAGCAAAGCAAACUUGCACUGAAUUCUACACCAACAGAGCUAAGUACCACAUUAAAUUUAAAUCUAGGUAUCUAAGGAAAUUUAAAGAAAUUUUAACAAUUUUGUUGUUUACAGAAAUAAUACACUAAUGAAAUGAGAAACAAAGUCUAGAAUAUGUAGACCUAAAUUCCUUGUUACGUGUGGUCUCCCCUACAUGUGGAGCUGAUAAGCCUACAUCCUCACACAGUUUAUUGUUACACUGCCCUAAUCACCAAAACAAGAAGCAACCUAUAAAGAAAGAAAACACAAGGUGCUGUAUUUUCUCAAAACCAAUAUGGAGCAACUAAGGCUUAUGUCUUGGUUCAUUACAAAGCUUUGUUUUCCUCAACUGUGAAUUUCAUAGAAUGUAGGCUGAAUCAUUACCCAUCCAAUACAGUGUUUUACUCCUGAGCCUAGUUCUGUGGACAAAGUUCAAUGUUUUCUGCCUUUCCUAUACUUACAUCUGAUAGCAACCUAUCCAAAUUGGAGUCACUGGCUAGUUUUCUUUUAUCUUCAGGGAGUUCUUCCAGCUCCCCGUAGAGCUCCAAGUUGAGACGAGCAAGCUUUUCCUGCAUACUCCGCACAUGCUCCAUCUGCUCUAUGGAACAUUCAUUUCCUACAAGGCACAAACAAACAAAACAAAAGCUUUUGAGAAAGAAACCUGACGGAGCAAAUGAAAGUGUGAAGUCAUAGCUCAAUGUGACAAAAAAGCAUCUUACAACUCAAACUGACAUCAAAGACCAAUUUAAACAUUGGAUUUACUUUCCACAUGAUUUCAUCCUUUUUCAUAACUGAAGUUUCUGUCCUCCCAUCUGAUACUAUAUUGUGCUGAAUUUAUGAUAACCAUCAAUUGUACUACACUGAUUUUUAGAGUAUAGAGUUGCUGGCUAUGGUCUGAUUUUGUCUUCUAUUAGAAAAGUCCUGUAUUUUUAAAUGUAAAUGUGAUCAUAAUAAAUCUUCUUUCUACUUUU